Molecule: ribosomal RNA, 246 nt
Filed under: uncultured bacterium
Lineage: Bacteria
Description: partial 16S ribosomal RNA
Rfam family: Bacterial small subunit ribosomal RNA
Source: RNAcentral
AUACGUAGGUGGCGAGCGUUGUCCGGAAUUAUUGGGCGUAAAGCGCGCGCAGGCGGGAAAGUAAGUCUACUCUAAAAGUGCGGGGCUCAACCCCGUGAUGGGGUGGAAACUGCUUUUCUUGAGUGCCGGAGAGGAAAGUGGAAUUCCCAGUGUAGCGGUGAAAUGCGUAGAUAUUGGGAGGAACACCAGUGGCGAAGGCGACUUUCUGGACGAUGUCUGACGCUGAGGCGCGAAAGCUAGGGGAGC